AGCUCCAAUAGCGUAUAUUAAAGUUGUUGCAGUUAAAAAGCUCGUAGUUGGAUUUCUGGUCGGGACGGUCGGUCCGCCCCUCACGGGGUGUGCACCAUGGCCCAGUUCCGGCCAUCCUCGGGGAGAACGCGUGCUGGCAUUAAGUUGUCGGUCGCGGUAUCCCCGUCAUUUACUGUGAGCAAAAUAGAGUGUUCAAAGCAGGCUUAAGCCGUUGAAUACAUUAGCAUGGAAUAAUAAGAUACGACCUUGGGUCUAUUUUGUUGGUUUGCGGUCCGAGGUAAUGAUUAAUAGGGAUAGUUGGGGGUAUUCGUAUUCAAUUGUCAGAGGUGAAAUUCUUGGAUUUAUGGAAGACGAACUACUGCGAAAGCAUUUACCAAGGAUGUUUUCA
RNAcentral lists this ribosomal RNA (388 nucleotides) under uncultured eukaryote. RNAcentral describes it as "SSU rRNA". It matches the Rfam family "Eukaryotic small subunit ribosomal RNA", at positions 587 to 972 of the family's 1831-position model. The record is from RNAcentral.